Molecule: ribosomal RNA, 2074 nt
Filed under: human gut metagenome
Description: bacterial LSU rRNA
Rfam family: Bacterial large subunit ribosomal RNA
Source: RNAcentral
CCAAUCGAACCCGGAGAUAGCUGGUUCUCCCCGAAAUAGCUUUAGGGCUAGCGUCAAGAUGAACUUAUCUGGAGGUAGAGCACUGAAUGUGUGAUGGCCCCAUCCCGGGGUACUGAACACAAUCAAACUCCGAAUGCCAGGUAAGAUGAUUGGCAGUCAGACCGUGAGUGAUAAAGUCCAUGGUCAAGAGGGAAACAGCCCAGACCGCCAGCUAAGGUCCCAAAAUUCUGGCUAAGUGGAAAAGGAUGUGGGGAUGCACAGACAACUAGGAGGUUGGCUCAGAAGCAGCCAUCCUUGAAAGAGUGCGUAACAGCUCACUAGUCGAGUGACCCUGCGCCGAAAAUGUACCGGGGCUAAGCCAGGUACCGAAGCUGCGGAUAUUCCUAGAAUAUGGUAGGGGAGCGUUGCAUGUGGGGUGAAGCCGUAUCGUGAGGAGCGGUGGACAGCAUGGAAGUGAGAAUGCCGGUGUGAGUAGCGAGAUGUAGGUGAGAAUCCUACACACCGAAAGCCCAAGGAUUCCAGGGGAAGGUUCGUCCGCCCUGGGUAAGUCGGGACCUAACGCGAGGCCGAGAGGCGUAGUGGAUGGAAAACAGGCAGAUAUUCCUGUACCCGUAUAUGGAGCGAAGGAGGAACGGAGAAGGCUAGCAUGACCCUCUUAAUGGAUUGAGGGCGAAGCGAGGUAACUGGUGACCAGGCAAAUCCGGUCACUGCAAGGUGAAGACGUAACAGGUAAGUGAAAGAGCGAUCGAGUAGCGAAGCAUGUGAUGCCAGCUUCCAAGAAAAGCUUCUAGCAAUGCAUAUACGGCCCGUACCAAAACCGACACAGGUGGGCAGGGAGAGUAUCCCGAGGUGAGCGAGAGAACUGUUGCCAAGGAACUCGGCAAAAUGGCUCCGUAAGUUAGCAAGAAGGAGCGCUCGAAAGAGCCGCAGUGAAAAGGCCCAAGCGACUGUUUAACUAAAACAUAGCUCUCUGCGAAGCCGCAAGGCGAAGUAUAGGGGGUGACACCUGCCCGGUGCUGGAAGGUUAAGAGGAUCUGUGAAUCGCAAGAGGAAGCAGUGAGUUGAAGCCCCAGUGAACGGCGGCCGUAACUAUAACGGUCCUAAGGUAGCGAAAUUCCUUGUCAGGUAAGUUCUGACCCGCACGAAAGGUGUAACGAUUUGGGCGCUGUCUCGGCAGCAGACUCGGUGAAAUCUUAGUACCUGUGAAAAUGCAGGUUACCCGCAACUAGACGGAAAGACCCCAUGGAGCUUUACUGUAGCUUGAUAUUGAACUUUGGUCGUACCUGUACAGGAUAGGUGGGAGACAUAGAGACGUGCACGCCAGUGUACGAGGAGUCGGCGUUGGGAUACCACUCUUGUGCGAUCGGAGUUCUAACCCAGGUCCAUGAAACUGGAUCGGGGACCGUGUCAGGCAGGCAGUUUGACUGGGGCGGUCGCCUCCCAAAGAGUAACGGAGGCGCCCAAAGGUACGCUCAGAUUGGAUGGAAACCAAUCAUUGAGUGCAAUUGCAGAAGCGUGCUUGACUGUGAGACAAACAAGUCGAACAGGGACGAAAGUCGGGAAUAGUGAUCCGGCGGUGCCGAAUGGAAGGGCCGUCGCUCAACGGAUAAAAGCUACCCUGGGGAUAACAGGCUGAUCUCGCCCAAGAGUUCACAUCGACGGCGAGGUUUGGCACCUCGAUGUCGGCUCAUCGCAUCCUGGAGCUGGAUUCGGUUCCAAGGGUUGGGCUGUCCGCCCAUUAAAGCGGUACGCGAGCUGGGUUCAGAACGUCGUGAGACAGUUCGGUCCCUAUCUGUUGUGGGCGAAGGAGAUCUGCGGAGAGCUGUCCUCAGUACGAGAGGACCGGGAUGGACCUACCGCUGGUGCACCGGUUGUUCCGCCAGGGGCAUAGCCGGGUAGCUAAGUAGGGAAAGGAUAAGCGCUGAAAGCAUCUAAGCACGAAGCCUACUCCAAGAUGAGAUCUCCCAUUCGCAAGAAGUAAGACCCCUUAAAGACGAUAAGGUAGAUAGGCCAGGGAUGGAAGUGCAGUGAUGUACGGAGUUGACUGGUACUAAUCGGUCGAGGACUUAAUCAG